Molecule: non-coding RNA, 21 nt
Filed under: Caenorhabditis elegans
Lineage: Eukaryota; Metazoa; Nematoda; Chromadorea; Rhabditida; Rhabditidae
Source: RNAcentral
UCAGAUUGAUUUGUCCAAAAA